CCCUUAACUAUUAAAAGUUUCGUUUUGGUCCCUUAACUUAUUUUUUGGUUUCGUUUUGGUCCCUUAACUUAUUUUUUGGUUUCGUUUUGGUCCCUUAACUCUUCCUCCGUCAACCACUUUGGUCCUUUAUGUUAGGAUGAAUGUAUUAGAGUUAAGGACCAAAAUGAAAUCAAAAAAUAAGUUAAGUGACCAAAACGAAACUAAAAAAUAAGUUAAGGGACCAAAACAAAACUUUUAAUAGUAAAGGGA
RNAcentral lists this microRNA precursor (249 nucleotides) under Medicago truncatula (barrel medic). RNAcentral describes it as "MIR2655 microRNA precursor family". It matches the Rfam family "MIR2655 microRNA precursor family". The record is from Rfam by way of RNAcentral. Lineage: Eukaryota; Viridiplantae; Streptophyta; Magnoliopsida; Fabales; Fabaceae.